This 218-nucleotide ribosomal RNA is filed under the name uncultured bacterium. RNAcentral describes it as "partial 16S ribosomal RNA". It matches the Rfam family "Bacterial small subunit ribosomal RNA", at positions 328 to 539 of the family's 1533-position model. The record is from RNAcentral.
ACGCUCGACACCUACUGGAGGCAGCAGUGAGGAAUAUUGGUCAAUGGGCGCUAGCCUGAACCAGCCAAGUAGCGUGAAGGAUGAAGGCUCUAUGGGUCGUAAACUUCUUUUAUAUAAGAAUAAAGUGCAGUAUGUAUACUGUUUUGUAUGUAUUAUAUGAAUAAGGAUCGGCUAACUCCGUACCAGCAGCCGCGGUAAUCUGAGCGGGCUGGCAAGGC